Molecule: ribosomal RNA, 433 nt
Filed under: uncultured bacterium
Lineage: Bacteria
Description: partial 16S ribosomal RNA
Rfam family: Bacterial small subunit ribosomal RNA
Source: RNAcentral
AACGAACGCUGGCGGCAUGCCUAACACAUGCAAGUCGAACGAGACCAUCGGGUCUAGUGGCGCAUGGGUGCGUAACGCGUGGGAACCUUCACUUAUGUUCGGAAUAACUCUCCGACAGGGGUGCUAACACCGGAUAAUGUCUUCUGACCAAAGAUUUAUCGCCCUUGGUUGGGCGCGCGUUGGAUUCGCUUGUGGGUAGGGUAAAAGCCUAACAAGGCGACGAUCCAUAGCUGGUCAGAGAGGAUGAUCAGCCACACUGGGACUGAGACACGGCCCAGACUCCUACGGGAGGCAGCAGUGGGGAAUAUUGGACAAUGGGCGAAAGCCUGAUCCAGCAAGGCCGCGUGAGUGAUGAUGGCCUUAGAGUAGUAAAGCUCUUUUAACCGGGAUGAUAAUGACAGUACCGGGAGAAUAAGCCCCGGCUAACUCCGUG